RNAcentral lists this unclassified non-coding RNA (354 nucleotides) under soil metagenome. RNAcentral describes it as "partial contains 5.8S ribosomal RNA, internal transcribed spacer 2, and large subunit ribosomal RNA". The stretch from base 1 to 120 matches the Rfam family "5.8S ribosomal RNA", at positions 35 to 154 of the family's 154-position model. The record is from RNAcentral.
GAUGAAGAACGUAGCGAAAUGCGAUAAGUAGUGUGAAUUGCAGAAUUCAGUGAAUCAUCGAAUCUUUGAACGCACAUUGCGCCUUCUAGUAUUCUGGGAGGCAUGCCUGUUUGAGCGUCAUUAAACCUCUCUCAAGUAUGAUUACUUGGAUGUGAAGGAAGAGUACCUUAAACUUAAGGAGUGUUCUCCUUUGAAAUUGAUUAGCAGAUGGUAAUGUUAUUAAAUCCCUGAUGUUGUAAGAAAUAACAGUGGUUUUGUAGACUAUUAUCUAGCUUUAAAUUACAAUUUUUAUUAUGGUUGACCUCAAAUCAGGUAAGGAUACCCGCUGAACUUAAGCAUAUCAAUAAGCGGAGA